CCUGUAUCAAUGAUUCUCCCCUCCACUGUGUUUUGUAAAAAGAUUUUGUCUUUGUGAUGAUACAAUUCCCGUUCCAAUCAGAAACAAAUGCAUAUUGUUAAGCCUUAUGGUUCGUUGGCAUCAUAACAUAGAAAACAAAGUGCUUCAUUAAUUCAAAUCAAAACAGAUGGAAAUUAUAAUGCAUUGUACUAAAGCAAGGUAAUCCCAACAGAAAAAUUCGUUUGGUGUUUUAAACCGGCAAAAUGAAUAACAACAUCAUCCCCAUGAUUUCAUUGCUUUGUACUUAUUACAUAGUUUAGUAUUUGUCGGUCUCCAUUAAACAUCCAUCUGAAUCUCUCUAAUAUCAACUGUGAAAAAUCAAAAAUUACCUCCAUGAAUCAGUCAAGCAAAUGAUCGAAUAGUUGGUGGGCAAAUGAUAAUGCAAGACAAACUGCCAAUAGUAAGAAAUUUAUGCAAUAUAAGUAUCACGAAUUUCAUUGCUUUUUACUUAUUACAUAGUUUAGUAUUUAUCAGUCUCUACUAAACAUCUAUAUGAAUCUCUAAAACUAAUAUUAACUGUGAAAAAUCAAAAAUUACCUCCAUGACUCAGUCAAGCAAAUGAUUGAAUAGUUGGUGGACAAAUGAUUUUUACAGGUGUAAAAGCAGCAGUCCUGAUUUUUACAGACUGAAAAUCAACAACUUUUUCCAUGGCCUUCAUGGAAGGAUUCAAGACCCACGCAUCUGUAAGAAAUGAAUGCACACAAAAUUUCCUGAAAGAGAUGGACAAAGAGAUGGACAAAGGAUGGAGAGAGAAAGACAGGAGUGGCGUCGACAUUAUUUAGAUCUAGGGUUUAAUGGGUUUCUUGAAAAAUAGAUACAAAGAAUGAGGGAAAUGGAAAUAGAUACAAAAAAUUACUGAUAUAUAUCGGCUUCAUAUUUGGAAAUUCCAAAGAAUUAGGGCAAAAUGGGAGAGACAAAGCAUAGAAAAAGAGACGGUGGACACAAUGGCAGAGUCAAUAUACACAAAUUCGUUCGUUGAAGUUACUGAUUUAUGGACUUCAGUUUAGAAUGUUGAGCGUUACUUGUGGAAUAGAUUAGCAUCAUAUUUGUUCUGAUAUUCAGUUUCAAAAC
This 1110-nucleotide long non-coding RNA is filed under the name Lactuca sativa (garden lettuce). RNAcentral describes it as "long non-coding RNA (LSAT_LNC002384)". The record is from RNAcentral. Lineage: Eukaryota; Viridiplantae; Streptophyta; Magnoliopsida; Asterales; Asteraceae.